AGGAUGAACGCUGGCGGCGUGCCUAAUACAUGCAAGUCGAGCGGUAAGGCCUCUUCGGAGGUACACGAGCGGCGGACGGCUGAGUAACACGUAGGAACGUACCCAAAGUGAGGGAUAAGCACCAGAAAUGGUGUCUAAUACCGCAUGUGCUCUAAGGAGUAAAGCUUCGGCGCUUUGGGAACGGCCUGCGCAUGAUUAGCUUGUUGGUGAGGUAAAAGCUCACCAAGGCGACGAUCAUUAGCUGGUCUGAGAGGAUGAUCAGCCAGACUGGGACUGAGAACGGCCCAGACUCCUACGGGAGGCAGCAGUAGGGAAUUUUCCACAAUGGGCGAAAGCCUGAUGGAGCAACGCCGCGUGCAGGAUGAAUGCCUUAGGUUGUAAACUGCUUUUUAUCUGUGACGAAUAUGACGGUAGCAGAUGAAUAAGGAUCGGCUAACUCCGCGCCAGCAGCCGCGGU
RNAcentral lists this ribosomal RNA (457 nucleotides) under uncultured bacterium. Its description in RNAcentral is "SSU rRNA". It matches the Rfam family "Bacterial small subunit ribosomal RNA", at positions 26 to 521 of the family's 1533-position model. The record is from RNAcentral.